AAUAAUAGAAACAACGUCUCACUAUGUUGCCCAGGCUGGUCUCCAACUCCUGAGCUCAAGUGAUCCUUCUUCCUCAGCCUCCCAAAGUGCUAAGAUUACAGGUGUGAGCCACCGGGUUCCUGGCCGAAUCAGUCCUGACAGCAACCCCAUGAGGUGUGGCUGUUACAGUUCCCCCAAAUGGCGAUGAGAGAACACAGCCACUAAGUAGCUGCUUGGCUGCUUGACCCUGAAACCAUUGCCCUUAACCAUUUUCCUGUACUGGUAUGCUGAGCUGAAUGAAAUGAAGAUACAUUUUGUGUAAGUUGAAUUUUGACUUUUAGUUGCCAUAAAUUAAUUAAAUAAUUUAUUAUUGUAUAUAUUUUUUUGAGACAGUUUUGCUCUUCUUGCCCAGGCUGGAGUGUAAUGGUGCGAUCUUGGUCUACUGCAACCUCUGCCUCCUGGGUUCAAGCGAUUCUCCUACCUCAGCCUCCUGAGUAGCUGGGAUUACAGGUGCCUACCACCAUGCCUGGCAAAUUUUUGUAUUUUUAGUAGAGAUGGGUUUUCACCAUGUUGGCCAGGCUGGUCCCAAACUCCUGACCUCAGGUGAUCCACUCGCCUGGGCCUCUCAAAGUGCUGGGAUUAUAGGUGUGAGCCACUGUGCCUGGCCAGUUGCCGUAAUAUAUAUAUAUUUUUUUUGAGACCGCAUCUUGCUCUGUUGCCCAGGCUGGAGUGCGGUGGCAUGAUCUCGGCUCCAUGCAACCUCCACCUUCCAGGUUCAAGCGAUUCUUCUGCCUCAGCCUCCCGAGUAGCUAGGACUACAGGCGCAUGCCACCAUGCCUGGCUGAUUUUUUUAUUUUUAGUAGAGAGGGGGUUUCACCAUAUUGGCCAGGCUGGUUUCGAACUCCUGACCUCAUGAUUUGCCCUCCUGGGCCUCCCAAAGUGCUGGGAUUACAGGCAUGAGCCACUGUGCCUGGCCAUUUGCCAUAACUUUUAAUGAGAGGGUAGUUCCAGCUACAGAUUGAGGUAGUAUGUGAAUAAGGAUAGAAAGUGGAUAUAAAAGUAUUUUUGUUACUUUUUAAGAAAGAAUUAUCAGAAGGCUCAAAUUCUGAUAAUUUUAGCUAAUAGUAUUCUACCUAAGAAGUAAACAAAGGCCCAGAAAUUAGAUGAUAUGUCCAAGGACAUAGUAAAUGGGGAGCCAGCAUUAACUGUAGACAGAAAAACUUCAAGUCCUAAAUGUAUACUAGCUAUCAACCCACUCUUUCCCAGUACGCAAGCAUUACAUAGUUGUGAUUAGUUAGUUAGGGCUUUUAAUUAACUUCCAAAUGAAUAUUUCCAUGGGUUCUUGUAAUCCAUAAAUUCAUGGAUUAUGUUCAGUGUUUAUGAGAGCUGGCCCUAACUGAACAUUGCUCGGCUGUUUGGUUUUAGUUUCCACCAUUUGCUGUAAUCAGUGUUUUCUAAACUGCAGGCUGGGAACCAUUAGAUUAUAAAAUCAGUUCAUGUAUAUAAUAAAAUAACAUAUUAGAGUAAGUAUUGAUUUGUGAACAAUAUUAUUUAUUGGAUUACUUAUAUACAUAUACUUUUCAAAAAAUUGAGGGUCAUGUUAAUAGCACUUGGUAUGUAAAUUACCAGAAUGCUUUCUAGCAAUAUGGUAUUUAUUUACAUAGCUGGAUUGAGAAAGAAUAAUACAAAGUAAGCAUGUGACACCAAGGUUGGAAAAAAAAUGUGUUUUUGAAUGUUUGAUGAGGAUUCAAACAUGUUUUAAAUGAGAAAAUCGGUAGGAGGUUGAGGAUUGUAGUAGAAGUACCAGAUGCUUUUUCUUUUAGCUGUUUUUUUUCGUUGCUGUUGUUUGGUUGGUUUUGGUUUUGGUUUUUUUUUUUUUUUUUUUGGCUGUUAUUGUUUUAAAAGUAAGGACUAGGCCGGGUGCAGUGGCUCACGCCUGUAAUCCCAGCACUUUGAGAGGCGAAGGCAGGCAGGCAGGCAGAUCACCUGAGGUCAGGAGUUCGAGACCAGCCUGGCCAACAUGGUGAAACCCCGUCUUUACUAAAAAUACAAAAAUGAGCUGGGCGUGAUGGUGGAUGCCUAUAAUCCCAGCUACUUGGGGGGCUGAGGCAGGAAAAUCGCUUGAACCCAGGAGGCGGAGGUUUCAGGAGCCAAGAUCACACGGUUGCACUCCAGCCUGGGUGACAGAGCAAGACCUCGUCUCUAAAAAAAUAAAAGUAAGGACAGUGCUGAUUCAUGGGAAAUAUUUUGGCUUAUAAAGGGCCUGACGUUAGGGACAAGUGUGUCUGUGAGUUCCUAGUUUGCAUAACCUGGCCUUGUAGAAUUGAAAUGGUCUCAAAUGUAGUAUAGUUUAGUGAUGCAGUACUGUCUCUAAUUUGGGGCAAGUUAUUAAGCUUCUUACCACCAGUUUUCAUCUAGAGAUGAUGAAGUAGUUGGACCUUACAUAUUUUGGAUAUAUGGUAUUAAUAAAUCUUUCCCUUUUUGUUACAGACGUGUUGAUACUGCAGCUAGGAAAGCUGAGGGACUUCGGCUAAAUUUCUUUUGCAAGAUUUCAAUGGCAGAGAAUUAGUAGGGCCAGGAUUUGAACCCUGGUUUUUAUUGACUCCAAAUGAGUAAUGCUGUGAACAUUCAAAUACACGUUUUUUCAAUUCUCUUGCCCUUUUUUUUUGCGGGGAGGGGCAGGGUCUCACUCUCUUGCUCUGACUGGAGUGCAGUGGUGUGGUCAUAGCUUACUGCAACCUUUAACUCCUAGGCUCAAGCAAUCUUCCUGCCUCAACCUCCUGAGUAACUCAGCUGGGACCAUAAGCCUGCACCACCACACCCAGCCAUGUUCAGUUCUCUAGAGUAUAUACCUAGAAAUGGAAUUGCUGGGUCAUAUGGUGAACUGUUUUUUACUCAUCACUAACCAGUUCUGACACCAACAAUCAAUUCUUCAACUCGACACCAACAGAGUGUCCUACAAUUAAAUUUAAUUCUGAAACUACCUGAAGUUAGUACAAACUUCACAGGUUGAGGGCUCAAACACGUAAGACUGCCCCCGCUUCAGAUGCAGGUUUCUACCUGAAUUUUUAACCAACCAGCUAUAAAUUAGGGGGUUUCACAACCUCUUCCACUGGGUCUAUAAUUUGCUAGGAUGGCUUACAGAACACAGGAAGACACUCAUUAUCACUGGUUUAUUAUAAAGGAUUUAAAUGAAUAGCCAGAUGAAGAGGUCCUUAAGCUGAAGUCCAGGAGGGUUCCUAGCACAGGAGCUUCUGUAUCUAUGGAGUUAGGGUUACACCAGCCUCCUGGCAUGAAGAUGUGUUUUUCAACUCAGAGCUGUCCAAACCCUGACACUUAAGGGGUUUUUAUGGAGGUUUCAUACUUAGGCAUGAUUGAUUACAUUAUUGGCCUUUGAUGAUUGGCUUACUCUCUGUCCUCUCUGCUUUACCUGGAGGUUGAGGGGGUGAGGCUGAAAGUUCCACCCCUCUAAUCACACCUUGGUCUUUCUGGUGACUAUCCCCCUCCUGAAACUACAGGAGCCACCAAUCGACUCAGUAGCAUUAAACAGACAUUCAUCACUUAGGAAAUUCUGAGGGUUUUAGGAGCUGUAUGCCAGCCAGGAUCUUCAAAUGGAGACAAAGACGAAAUACGUGUUUCUGAUUCCACUUAACAACUGUUUGACUUGUCUACAAGUUUUGUUCUCCAAAGCAGCUGCACCAUUUCACAUUCCCACCAGCAAUCUAAGGGUUCCAAUUUUCUCCGCAUCCUUGUCAACACUUUUAUUAAUCUUAUUAGCCAUCCUAAUGAAUAAUGUAUCUUUUCAUGUGCCUGUUGGCCAUUUGUGCUUAUGAGUCAUAUCUUUGGUGAAAUAUCUAUUAAAAUAUUUUACCAUUAAAUUAGGUUGUUUUAAGUUACUUUAAUGUGUGUUUUGCACACCAGUUUACAAAGAAUGCAGAUCCAUUUUUUUUGCAUGUGGCUAUACAGCCGUCAGCAUUAUUUGUUGAAAAAACGAUUCCCAGUUGAAUUGUCUUGUCAUGGUUGAAAAUCAGUUGACCCAUGUAUGGGUUUAUUUCUAGACUUUAAAUUCUAUUAUAUUGAGCCGUAUGUUUUUUAUUACGUUUUGUAAUUUUAAAAAUUAGUGCUUUUGGUUACUAAAUCACUACAAAAUAAAUUUAGUCCCUAUCUUAAAAGAUAAUCUUCGUAGUAGCUACCUCCUAAAUAUGAAGUCUGUAAAUUAAAGGGUAAUAAUACAGUUUAGAUUACUUGGGUUUAUUAAAGAUUUUGGACUCUGCCUUCAAUCCACAUAUUACCUUUCUAUCUAAAGGAAAGGAUCCUGACCCUGAAUCAGAUCCAGGUGAUUAUCUUUGAUUUAGUCCUAAUAAGACCACUUAGUGUUUGCUCGCAUGGGAUAAAUGAGUAGGUUCCUUUAAAAAUUAGUUUCUAUUUGUGUGUGUUUUUUAUAUUAUCUCGUUGUAUGUUAGUGCAUUUGGAUUAUGCAUGAUGUACAGGACUUUUGGGUUUUGAAGUCAUUGGAUUUUUAAUUAGAGGCUGUCAUGUUUUUCUGUAAUGAUUUUUUGUUGUUUCUUGAAGGAUAAGUUAUUUCAUGCAUUUUCAUUUGUAGGAACUGUAAGAAAACCAGCAGUUAAUAAUAGUAAAAGGUGGUGGUAAGAGGGUGAUUUCUGAAUCUUGUAAAUACAUGGUUUUAGGAGCGGAUUCAGAUAACCAAGCAUUUAAAAUACUAUUAAUGAAAUACAGGAAAUGAAACCACAGCAUAGAUUAUGCAUGUAGCCAAAAUGUUCAGUUAAACUUCAUUUUCAACGUAAGUGAAUGAAAAUGGUCUAAUACUAUUUUUCUUAUCACUCACACAGGAAACCAGGAUUACCGAGGAGGAAAAAAAGCCUUCCUGUGGUGCUCAACUGUGAUUCCUUUUCACCAUUCACCCUGGAUGUUCUCUUCACUGUGGGAUGAGGUAGUAGGUUGUAUAGUUUUAGGGUCACACCCACCACUGGGAGAUAACUAUACAAUCUACUGUCUUUCCUAACGUGAUAGAAAAGUCUGCAUCCAGGCGGUCUGAUAGAAAGUCAGUUAACUAAUUGUACAAUAUUUAAGAUUAACUUGUCUUAAAGAGAUGUAGUGCAGCAUUUGUUUAUGGCCUGGAAAUAAAUUAAUUUAGAGAUAAAGUCUGUAGCAAGUACACUGGAUGGGGGUGGGGAAACCUUUUGCUUCUUGUCUUAUUUCUCUGUGUCAGAAUAAAUGUAUUUUUUUAUUUUGAUUUAUGCUGAUAAUUUUAUGUUGAAAUUUUCUUUCGAAAGAGAUUGUACUUUCCAUUCCAGAAGAAAACAUUGCUCUAUCAGAGUGAGGUAGUAGAUUGUAUAGUUGUGGGGUAGUGAUUUUACCCUGUUCAGGAGAUAACUAUACAAUCUAUUGCCUUCCCUGAGGAGUAGACUUGCUGCAUUAUUUUCUUUUUAUUUAGAUGAUAUUAAAACUCAGAAGAAUUAAUUUUGACAUUUUGUAUUUACAGUUUAUCAGUUAAUUUUCUCUGUUCAAGUAGUACAGUAGGCACAGAUUAACAUUUAAAUUUUUCACAUAUGGUAUAUUUCAGAAAUUUGAAGUUAAGCAAAAAUUUUAAUGAGUAGAGAAAGUAAGUAGCCUUCAGGAAAUCUUCAUAGAGGACCAGGCCCUUUUGGAAUUGUGAAUAGGUUUAUUGCCUUACAUCCUGGUACACAUGUCCAAGGUCAGGUCCUGGGUGGUAAAGGUAAAUACAAAUUGGAAGGGCACUGUGUGAGCCAAAAUGAGUCAGAUUAGUCAUGAUUCAUUUCCAGUUUGGGUUUUGGGUGGUCUUGGAGAAUGUUGUAAGCACUGCUUCAUUGAUAGGUUGAUUGAGCCAGACUUUACUCAGCAGCCUGGAAAAGGAGAGAUGGGCUCUGGGUUCUACCUUUGCUCACUGGUAAGUUGCUAAGAUUUCAGCUUUGCCCUCAAACCCUGAAGUAGUCCUUCAUUCACACAGUGGGAUCACUCGAAAAUGUCAGAUGGGGAAGUCCAUAGGUUGUUACUUUAAAGAAAAUAGAAAAAAUGCUGGAAAAGGUUUCUUCAAUUUUAAUACCCAUGAAGGCCCAUGUUUUAGCUUUCCUCCGAUGGGCAAACCAUACACUAACUUGGGCCUUGUAAUCAACAAGCAAGGCUAAAAGCUCUCUAAGUGCUUGCUGUUUAAACUAUUUUGUGUUGGAAGAAGAGUUGGAAAAGAGGCAGUGUGGAGGUGAGGGAGAAGUUCCCUCCCUCCAAUCAUUUCCAAUAAAUGGAAAUUUAAGGAGAAAUUUGUGUUUAUCCUUAAUAUCUAAGAUAAUCACUGUGCAGUGCCAUUGGUACUUUUCAUGAGAGUAGAAACAUCAAACUUCCUUGGAUGGGCCCAACCCAGGUGACUUAACUCUGGACCAAAUGUAUGCUUUUUGUUUUAUCCACUGUGGACAGCUGCAUAGAUAAUUGGUCUUUGUUCUAAACUGCACAUAAAAACAUGGGAGAAAAUGACAUUUGUUGCCUUUUGAUGUGCCAAAGAAGAGUGGGAAUGUUCUAAGAAUUCUUUUUGGCUUAAUCUUUGUUGAAUUGAAAAUAUGUAUAACUCUUCUGCUGAAAGUGUAGCAAGUACAGUCAUGAAAUUUUGUGGUCUUCCUGACAUGUUCUUCCAGCAUAACGUUGCCACCUUCAGUUGGAAACGUAUCCUUAUCUAAUAAUUAAGCCCUGGAGAAAAAUUAAUUUAUAUAUUUUAUUAAUUACAUAAGGACAUUGUUAUUAGCUAAGCAGAGUAAGUAAAUCGAAAUAAAACUUUAAAAAUGCCUUUAUGGAGAGAAUGACUAUCUCUGAAAGCUUGUUUUUAAUGAUGAUAAAAUUCAUGAUCAGAAUUUGUUUCUGUUUGCUUUAAUUCAGGGGUCAAAAACUGAAAUACCAUCAGAGGCCCAGGAGGGGCUAGUUGUAACUGGCAAAUAUAGUAAAUUAAUUUGCUCUGGUUGAUAGGUAGCAAGCAGGGUUUAUAUACAUUGUCACCUACUUUUCCAGUUAACAGGAGAGACUGGAGAUUUUAUGAAAUUUGAUAUUUAAAUGUUGGUAACUGGGUUGGGCACCAUGGCUCACACCUCUAAUCCCAGCACUUCGGGAGGCUGAGGCGGGUGGAGCACCUGAGGUCAGGAGUUAAAGACCAUCCUGACCAGCCUGGUGAAACACAGUCUCUAAUAAAGAUACAAAAAUUAGGCCGGGUGUGGUGGCUCAUGCCGGUAAUCCCAGCACUUUGGGGAGGCCAAGGUGGGCGGAUCACCUGAGUCAGGAGUUUGAGACCAGCCUGCCUAAAUGGUGAAAACCUGUUUCUACUAAAAAUACAAAAAAGUAGCUGGGCGUGGUGGUGGGCGCCUGUAAUCCCAGCUACUCUGGGGGCUGAGGCAGGAGAAUCACUUAAACCCAGGAGGCAGAGGUUGCAGUGAGCCGAGAUCACACCACUGUACUCCAGCCUGGGUGACAGAGCGAGACUGUCCAAAAAAAAAAUUGAUAAUUAAAUGUUAAAAGUCAGCGACUCCAGUAAUACGUGGUGGGCUGAGUAUUAGACUACUGGCUUACAUCCUCUGAUGUCAUUACUUUCUUGUUCGUUUGUGACUUGAGGUUGGAUUUUAAGCAAAUGUAUUUGUGGCUUUUUACCAAGGUCAUAUGGCCAGAUAACUUUUCAAAAGCAUUAGUUAAAGAAUUCUGAUUAGUUUGAAUUAGAAACAAAACUCAAAGAACAUGACCUAAUUUAACAGGUUAAUUUGAAGUGCAUCUGCCAAGUAGAAGACCAGCAAGAAAAAAAAAAUGGGUUCCUAGGAAGAGGUAGUAGGUUGCAUAGUUUUAGGGCAGGGAUUUUGCCCACAAGGAGGUAACUAUACGACCUGCUGCCUUUCUUAGGGCCUUAUUAUUCACCGAUAACCUGUUUCCUUGCUACUUUGCUUUGGUGUAAGCAGAGUUCUUUCUGUAGGUUUUUUCAAAUGAAAACAUUGCAAGAAUAUCAAAGAGAGCAGUGUUUGCGUUAGUGAUUAUAAACUGCAGCAUGGUGCUGACAUUGAUAACUGAAAGUCAACUAAUGAGAAUUUGAGACUUCUGAAGUACACUUAGUUGCUAGUGUCUCCCUUUUGGUGUCACUGGAAAGUUUAGAAAGCAUGGUUUUGUUUUUGCUCAGGUUUCUCUUUCUGUGAUGCAGAGACUCUCAGCUGUUCCUCCUCUAUGUCUACAUUAUGUCUGAAGGAAAGAAUUUAACAAAACUUGAAAUACUGCUGUUUUUCUACAAUGUUUGUAAAUAUUUAUCUUGCUGCUUUUCUAGGUUUGUCUUCUGGAUUUAAAAUUUGGGGCGGCUGGGGUGGAAUUGCAUGGUUUGGGAAUGGGUAAUUGAGCUGCUGCUCAUUAUGGUAUGUAACAGUGAUUUGUCUGUUUAAUAUGUACAAGAACUGGAAGGUCAAUAAAAUGAAAGUGGUUGUCUUGACUGGGUAAUAGUGUUACAUAUUUUGUUAAAAGUUAUACAUCUUUUCAAUAAAAACACUGCAUACUUCAAAACUAGUGCUUUUUAAGUCAUCCUUAACCCUUAUCCCCAUCCUUGCAGUAGUAGAUGCAUUUUUCAUUUGUAAUUAUUAUGAUUUGUUCUUAGUUUCAUUUUUCAUUAGCAAUAAUUUGGUGAUUGGAUGGUCAUUUACAGAUGUUUUAAUAAAGCUAACACGAGCAAUUUCCAGCUCUUCCAUUUUUGUAAACACUUGUGUGACUUUGUACAGACAAUUAACUGCUCAGGAUCACCCUCCUUUUUGUUUUGUUUUUGAGAUGGUCUCAUUCCGUCACCCAUGCUGGAGUGUAGUGAAAUGAUCACAGCUCACUGCAGCCUUGACCUCCCGGACUCAAGCUUCCUAGUAACUGGGACUACAGGUGCAUACAACCAUGCCUGGCUAAUUUUAUUUUUGUAGAGACGGUUUCACCAUAUUGCCCAGACUGGUCUUGAACUCCUGAUUAUCCUCUGGCUUUUACCUCCCAAAGUGCUGGCCAGGACAGCCUCCUUUCUUUACUUGAGUAAUUAUUUGAGUUUGCUCAGGCAGACACUACCUUGUAAAAACUCUUAUGUCUCAUUUCACUAGUCUAGUUUGAGCAUUUAUCAUUCUAGGAAUGAGACGAAUUUGUGCAUUAGCAUUCCAUCUUUUUCCAACUACUAUGAACAGUAGUAUUUUUUUUUAUUUUAUUUUAUUUUUUGAGACAAAAUCUCACUGUUUCCCAGGCUAGAGUGCAGUGGUGUGAUCUCAGCUCACUGCUGCAACCUCCACCUCCUGGGUAGAGUAGACAGGAUUUAGGUAAUUUUUUGUAUUUUUAUUAGAGACAGGGUUUCACUAUGUUGGCCAGGCUGGUCUUGAACUCCUGGCCUCAAGUGAUCCACCGGCCGUGGCCUUCCAGAGUGCUGGGAUUACAGGUGUGAACCACCCUUGCCUGAUCAUGAGCAGUAAUACAUUUAAAAGUCUCCAGGGGUGAGAAAGUUGAAAGGAAAUUCAGUGGAGUUUCCCAUCCUGCCCCUCUGCUGCCUAGCCCCUUGCUCCAGUGGAAGGAAGAAUCGUGAUCUAGGGAUGUUCUCAUACUUGGGGCUUUAAAUUUCCUUUAUGAAUUGAGAUGGUUGGGUAUGUUUUCUAAGGUACCUUACAUGGUACAGUUCUUUAAAGUUGAAGAUUUAAGUUGUGGCAAAAUUGCAUCAAUUUCAUGUGCACUGAUUUAGGCGAAGAUGCGUAGGAAAAGAGCAAGGAAAUGAGGUGUGAUAGGAUUGGGGUAAUUUCAAAAUGAGUAUUUCUGCCUGGCCUAGUGGUUCACGCCUGUAAUCACAGCACUUUGGGAGGCCAAGGCAGGCAGAUCCCCUGAGGUCAAGAGUUCGAGACCAGCCUGGCCAACAUGAUGAAACCCCAUCUUACUAAAAAAAAGUAGCUGGCAUGGUGGUGGGCUACUUGUGAGGCUGAUGUAAGGAGAACCGCUUGAACCAGGGAGGUGGAGGUUGCAGUGACCAGAGAUUACGCUAUUGCACUCCAGCUUGGACGACAGAGCAAGACUGUCUUAAAAAUGUUUCUAGUUUCACUUAUUCUAAAUUUAUGUCUAACCAUUUUUAGUGAAGUAUUUGAGUCACAUCAGCUAGCCUUUUUCCUACAGCGUUGAAGUAAUUUUCUAGGUUCCUUGCUCUCCCCCCAUUUUAUUUCCUACUUUGCUUUCUGUUGUUGGGGUCCUAUGGGGAGGGCUGGGAAAGGAGUUGGGCCCUCUUAGGACUGGUCAUCAAUCUUUGUUCUGAGCAGUGUUUUGUUUUCUGGUUGAAUGGCUGACCUGAAGGAAGCAUCAGACUCCUUGGGAUUCUGAAAUCCUAUUUCUUGAUAGAAACCCAUAACUUAUUUUAGUUUGACUUAAAAACGAUCCAUAAGUAAGCAUGCAGGGUUGGUGUAACUGCAUUGAACUGGUAACAUCAGAAACACGGGUAGAAAUGAGGUACCCCAGUGAUACGGAAGCUUUGUGACUGAUGUCCUGGAUUCUUUCUAGCUUUUCUUCCAGCCCUAACACAUGGUUUCCAUUCUCAAGGUUACCUCUGUAACAACUGACUGCUAUAACUGGCCACGUCGUUUUUCCAUUCAUGAAGAUGGAAAAAGGAAAAGGCAGAAGGGACACUUUUAUGGUUGAAUUCAUUUAGUUUUCUCAAGAAAUGCCACCUAGUGACUCCUUUACGUGUAAUCCCUUGGAACUAUCACAGACUAGACCAAGGAAUCCUGGAAAGUGGUCCUGGCAGGACUGAUUGCCAGGCUGAAUACAAUCAGGGUCCCACUAGUAAGGAGGGGAGAAAGGAAAUAACACAGAUAGUUAUCUGCAGUAAUUGGCAUUAGGAAAAAAAACUUGACAAAGACUGACAAGCUCUGUUCCACUCCUGCCAUUUAAAGAAAAACACACACACGCAUAAAAACACCAAGUGGCCUCAGAUGGGCAGCACUCCUCCUGACCCUGGGCUUCAGAAAUUUUCACUGGGAGUCUGAUGAGGCUCAGCCACAGUUGUGUGGGACUGUUCUCAAUUUCAAGCAGAGGAGCAGAGAAAGCUGGUUAGUUGCGGAGGCUUCCCACAUUACUUGGACCCUACAAUAUAUAUGACUUCUAUCACAGGACAUGGUACAGAACUGGAACAAUAAAGCAUUUUUUAAAAUUUAAUUUCUUGAGCAAUUUUAGUUUCACAGCAAAAUUGAGCAGAAAGUAUAGUGUUCACAUAUACUUCCCUGUUUAUUACGCACACACUGCCUUCCUCACUACUGAAGUCCUGACCAUAAUGGUACAUUUUAAUAAAGCAGUUUGUUUUUCCCUUUUCUUUGAAGUUGUUCCAUCAUGAGAAUUAGGCUAAAAGUCUUAGCUUACUGCCCCAUGGAAGGAAGGACAAAUAGCAAUGACCAAGCAACGUAUUUUUAGCUUUGAGGCCAAAAUUGGCUGAAAAUGACAGAAGCAGUUACUUCAGAGAAAAUGAUUUUUUGCAGUUCUGCAUAAAUUUGAAGAGGUAAACCUGGAUUGCUGAGAACAAUGAGUUAUAUGCAGUGGACUAGAGGAAGAUGCAUAUUCAACCAUGUCUUUUUUUCCAUCCAAGAAGAGUUACUAGCAAGCAGUAAGAUGAGAGGAAAUGAAACCAGUCAGACUGCUGAGUGCUGGAGAAGCGGUCCCUGUGCACACUCCGGCAUGGGCAUGGAUGUACAUGAAGCAUGGCACCAACAGCUGCUCCUGUGAGGCCUCAAGAAGCUUACAAUCGUGGCAGAAGCUGAAGGGGGAGCCAGCGUGUGGCAUGGCAAGGGAAGGAGCAAGAGAGAGAGGGAGGAGCUGCCAGGCUCUUGAACAACCAGAUCUCACGUGAACUCACAGAUUGAAAUUCACUCAUUACUGUGAGGACACACCAAGCCAUUUAUGAGGGAUGCACCCCUAUGACCCAAACACCUCCUACUAGGCCCACCUCCAACAUCAGAGGUCACAUGAAACGAGAUGUAUAGGGGACAAAACAGUCAAACCAUAUCAGUCCCACCAGCAAGAAGGCUCUCACUGGAUGUGGUCCCUUGAUCUUGGACUUCUCAGCCUCUGUAACUGUAAAAAAUAAAUUUUGUUUCUUAUAAAUUAUCCGGUUUCGGGUAUUUUGUUAUAAGUAAAAGAUGGACUAAGAAAGCAUUCAAAGUUUAGGCUUUCAAAUCUUCCCUAGCUCUUAUUUCUUUUGAGCCCUUUCAGGCCUUUUCUACCUGUGUGCACAGUCUUGCAGUCAUCCAGGAAUGUGUGAAUAGCUCUAGUUCUCUCCGGCCUCUUCUACACGUGUGUGCAGCUUUCCAAUAAGUUUGGGACGUAUGGAGAGCCUAUCAAGGUUCUCUAUGUCUAUCUCAUUUUUAACAUCUCCUUGUUAAAUUUCUGGCUAGUCUGCUGGUGCCUUGCUUUCCCCCAACCAGGACUGCAACCCCAGGGUAGCUGAGUCAUUGGCCUUUCAUAUUUGUUUGCUACCUAGAUUGCUACUGUUUUUGAUAGUGUUGCUGGGUAUACCGCUUUUUGCACUCUGCUUCAAGUAAAGUGAGUUCAGUUCCCCCUGGCAGGAGACUGUAGAAAUAAUUGGCCCAGAGAAAGACAUUCAAAUACUGACGUUUAAGAGAACCCUAACUAAAAAGCUGGCACAUUGCCUGAUUACGGGACAAGCAACAGUUCUGAAAGUGUGGUCCAUGGACCUCCCAGGGAUCCUUAAGAUUCUUUUGGGGAUCCAAAAUAUUAAAAUUAUUUUUAUAAUAUUUCAUAUCUUAUUUACUUUUUUCAGUGUGUUAAUUUUUGCACAGAUGGUCCAAAAGCAAUGAUAGGUAACACUGCUGGCCCAUUUAGCAUGAAUCAAAGCAGUAGUACAAAACUAUACUAGUAGUCACUUUUUUCUUCACUGCCAUACAAAGAAUCAUUCAAAAGCCACUUUGGUCCAGGUGCAGUGGCUCAUGCUUGUAAUCACAGCACUUUGAGAGGCCGAGGCAGGCAGGUCACUUGAGGUCAGGAGUUUGAGACCAGCCUGGCCAACAUGGUGAAACCCCGUCUCUCUUAAAAAUAUAAAAAUAGCCAGGUGAGGUGGCCAAGAUGCCGCCAUUGCACUACAGCCUUGGUGACAGAGCAAGACUCUGUCUAAAAAAUAAAAAUAAAAAGCCACUUUGGCCAGACACAGUGGUUCACACCUGUAAUCCCAGUACUUUGGGAAUCCUUGGCAGGUGGAUCACUUGAGGACAGGAGUUCGAGACCAGCCUGGGCAACAUGGUGAAACCCCAUCUCUACUAAAAAUACAAAAAAAUUAUCCGGGUGUGGUGGUGCAUGCUUGCAGUCUCAGCUACUUGGGAAGCUGAGGUAUGAGAAUCACGUGAACCCAGGUGGUGGAGGUUGCAGCAAGCUGAGAUCGUGCCACUGCACUCCAGCCUGGGUGACAGAGUGAGACUCUGUCUCAAAAAAUAAAACAAAAAAAAACAAAAACGGACGGGCACAGUGGCUCACACCUGUAAUCCUAGCACUUUGGGAAGCCAAGGUGGGUGGAUCACUUGAAGCCAGGAGUUUGAGACUAGCCUGGCCAACGUGAAACCCCAUCUCUACUAAAAAUACAAAAAUUAGCCAGGUGUGGUGGCAGGCACCUGUAAUCCCAGCUACUUGGAAGCCUGAGGCAGGAGAAUAGCUUGAACCCAAGUGGCAGAGAUUGCAGUGAGCUGAAAUCACGCCACAGCACAGUGAGACUCUAUCUCAAAAAACAAAAUCAAAACAACGCCACUUUUACUUAAGAAUGUCCUUGCUGAAGUAGUAAAUUUAUUAAUUAAAAAAAUUCUCCACCCUUACAUACAUGAGUUUUUAAUAUUUUGUGUGACAAAAUGGGAAGCAUGCAUAAAGCAUUUGAGCAAUUAUUUGAGUUUGUGAGCUUUGGUAACUGAUUUUUUUUUUUAAUGUCUUCCCUCAUCAUCCAGGCUAGAGUGCAGUGGCAUGAUGAUGGCUCAAUACAACCUUGACCUCCUGGGCUCAAGUGAUCCUGCCACCUCAGCCUUCCAAGUAACUGGAACUAUAGGAGUGUGCCACCAUGACUGGUUAAUUUUUUUUUUUUUUUUUUUGUAGAGACAGUGUCUCACUAUGUUGCCCAGAACUCCUGGGCUUAAGCAAUCCUCCUGCCUUGGCCCCCAAAAUGCUCAGAUUACAGGCAUGAGACAUGGUGCCCCGCCUGAUUUUUUUUUUUAUAUGUAGGAAAACCAUUUUUCUUUGAAUUACUGAUAGACAAAAAUAUGAAUAUUCAGACUUGGAUAUCUGGCAGGCGUUUUCUCAAAAAUUAAUAAAAUGAGCCUGUCAUUCUGAUAGCAUUUGUUGCCAAUGAUAAAAUUUGAGCUUUCAAGCAAAAUUUAGUAUUUUGGAAAUUUGUAUCUGCUUCUCAAUAUUUAAAGAUGUUGCUGAUAAGAUCAAUGAUAAUGAUAUUUUUGAUAUUAUAUAAAGAAUUGUGCUAUAAUCCUAGCUACUUGGGAGGCUGAGGCAAGAGAAUCACUUGAACCCAGGAGGUGGAGGUUGCGGUGAGCCGAGAUUGCACCACUGCACUUCAGUCUGGGCAACAGUGUGAGACUCUGUCUCA
This 14596-nucleotide long non-coding RNA is filed under the name Homo sapiens (human). RNAcentral's name for it is "non-protein coding lnc-ZNF169-7:9". The stretch from base 5312 to 5398 matches the Rfam family "let-7 microRNA precursor family". The record is from RNAcentral. Lineage: Eukaryota; Metazoa; Chordata; Mammalia; Primates; Hominidae.